AUGUGGGAGGAGGGAAUUUUCUGCUUCAUUCCCCCCUCCAUGGGAUGCUGUAUUUCCUUCUCUUCCUUCCUGGGCACUCAAUCUCCUGAUCAGGAAUUUUUUUGGGUGGAAAAGCUGAUUUUUCAAGAGGUUUUUGCACCUUCAGUGACUCGAUUUAGGAACAAUGCCAGUCCACCCUGGAAAAGGAAGGUGUUUAAAGAUAAAUCCUUAUCCACUGACACCAUUUUCACACUCCCAUCAGAGCAGUUCCCACUUUUCCCUGCACCUAAUCCCAGUUCUCCUCUGCUGCAGUUUCCCUCCUUGCUCUGGCUUUGGAUUUCAUCAGCCAAAAGGACACAGCCUUUCCAUCUCAGAACAAAGUGCUCCUCUGAAUUUCUCCUUCCUGAGGAAGAUCACGUUGGCUGGGUCCUGAUUCAGCGUGGAAUUUGUUUUUCCCAUCAUGUGAGAGGCAGAAAACAUCCAGUCCAAGGAGGGCGAUGUCAGCUCCGACGCAAACGCGCUCGGCACGGAGACACGAGGAGAGGGCUCAGCAACAUGAGAACUUUCUGCACUGCCUCGUGCACAAAACCCUCUUGGAAGGACUCAAAACAAACUGAAAGCUCACUGGAAACAUCUCCCUUGUUUGUUUUGGCUCCCAGAGCUUUUCUAAGUGUAAUUACCAGCAGUUGGGAAAUGGAGAGGGAGAAAGAAUCCUUGUGGUUCGUGCUCAGGGGCGGCAGCCCGGGAGACCUGGGUUGAUUUCUAACCUCUGUCACGGUGUCAGAGCAGGAAAAAGAGAUUUAAUUCAUCUGCAGGUCCAUUUGUACAAAAAGGCAUGAGGCUGCCCUGCAGCAGCAGCUCCUGGCACUGAGGUGAACCCUCCAUGUCCUGCUGCUUUUAUGGAAUUCAGACAGAUAGAUGUAAUUAUAUAUCCAUUUUUAAGGGUCUCUGGUGUUUAUAUAUAAAUACAUAAACCUCUCUUAGCAGCACCAUGCUGCUUCAGAGGGGGAAAACCCCCCAUUCCUGCACAGAGCUGCACAUCCCUUUAAGCCUUUAAGGAUUUGUGCCCUGCAAGGACCAACAUCUUCAUUAAGAUCCCCGUUUGCUGGGCAGUGACAAAUCUUUCCCUCAGAACACGGUGAUUAAGGUUUAAUUUUAUUCCGGAUUAUGGGCAGCUCCACUUGCAGAGCAGCCAAGGUUGGGCACGUAUUGCCUGGAAAUGAACGUUCCUCCCCAAAGUGCUUAAGCAGCUUUGGAUAAGAAAUGAUGGUUUGGGGAAGAUUAGGAGCGUAGGGAAGAUCUCCAGGCUAAGAGGGGGUUCAGGGAAAGUGCCAGUGGCUUCAGGAGGAAAUGUUGAGGGUCUGAGGCUUCCAAGGCUUGGGAGAGUUGGAGGAGGAUGGUGGGAGCAGGGUAGGUUAGUGAAGGUGGUGGAUUUACAGGUGGGUGAAGUCAGCCACGUCUAUGGGGGUGAGGUGGGGAGGGUGUGUUUAUAAACCACCAGCAGGGAAAUCUCCAGGCUUCAAUUUGCUCAGAGAACCAAAUCGGCAUUUCUGGAGGUUUUGUGAUGUGGCAGCAGCAAGGAGCAUCACUUGAGAUGAAGUUUAGGUGUCAUCUUAAACACAGUGGGGAAUAAAAUCCCUCUUGCCCAGCCCA
Molecule: long non-coding RNA, 1632 nt
Organism: Cyanistes caeruleus (blue tit)
Lineage: Eukaryota; Metazoa; Chordata; Aves; Passeriformes; Paridae
Source: Ensembl